UUCUGUACCGCCAAUAAGCGUUUGAGAGAUGGAGUGACACAGUAGGAUAAGCUAACCGUACUGUUGGUUAUGUACGGCUAAGCAUUGAGGCAGUCUAAAUAGGCAAAUCCGUUUGGACAAUGCUAGGAUGUGAUGGGGAAGCCCUCCGGGGCGAAGUAGCUGAUUUCACACUGUCAAGAAAAGCUUCUAUCGAGUUUAAAGGCGCCCGUACCGUAAACCGACACAGGUGGGUGAGGAGAGUAUCCUAAGGCCAGCGAGAGAACUAUUGUUAAGGAACUCGGCAAAAUGACCCCGUAACUUAGGGAGAAGGGGUGCCUGUCUAUGACGGGCCGCAGAGAAUAGGCCCAAGCGACUGUUUACCAAAAACACAGGUUUCUGCUAAGUCGCAAGACGAUGUAUAGGAGCUGACGCCUGCCCGGUGCUGGAAGGUUAAGGGGAUCUGUUAGAGCAAUCGAAGCAGUGAACUUAAGCCCCAGUAAACGGCGGCCGUAACGAUAACGGUCCUAAGGUAGCGAAAUUCCUUGUCGGGUAAGUUCCGACCCGCACGAAAGGCGUAACGAUUUGGGCACUGUCUCAACAAUAGACUCGGUGAAAUUGUAAUCCCGGUGAAGAUGCCGGGUACCUGCGACAGGACGGAAAGACCCCAUGGAGCUUUACUGUAGCUUGACGUUGGGUCUUGGUACUACAUGUACAGGAUAGGUGGGAGACUAUGAAGCAUGGACGCCAGUCUGUGUGGAGUCAUCCUUGGGAUACCACCCUUGUAGUACUGGGAUCCUAACCAUAGGCCUCGAAUCAGGUCUUGGAACACCGUCAGGUGGGCAGUUUGACUGGGGCGGUCGCCUCCUAAAAAGUAACGGAGGCGCUCAAAGGUUUCCUCAGCACGGUCGGAAAUCGUGCGAAGAGUGUAAAGGCAAAAGGAAGCCUGAUUGCAAGACAUACAGGUCGAGCAAGGACGAAAGUCGGACUUAGCGAUCCGGUGGUACCGCAUGGAAGGGCCAUCGCUCAACGGAUAAAAGCUACCCUGGGGAUAACAGGCUUAUCUCCCCCAAGAGUCCACAUCGACGGGGAGGUUUGGCACCUCGAUGUCGGCUCAUCACAUCCUGGGGCUGUAGUAGGUCCCAAGGGUUGGGCUGUUCGCCCAUUAAAGUGGUACGCGAGCUGGGUUCAGAACGUCGUGAGACAGUUCGGUCCCUAUCCGUCGCAGGCGUAGGAAAUUUGAGAAGACCUGUCCUUAGUACGAGAGGACCGGGAUGGACGUACCUCUGGUGUACCAGUUGUUCUGCCAAGGGCAUGGCUGGGUAGCUAUGUACGGAAUGGAUAAGCGCUGAAAGCAUCUAAGCGCGAAGCCAACUUCAAGAUAAGAUUUCCCACC
This 1372-nucleotide ribosomal RNA is filed under the name metagenome. RNAcentral describes it as "bacterial LSU rRNA". It matches the Rfam family "Bacterial large subunit ribosomal RNA", at positions 1437 to 2818 of the family's 2925-position model. The record is from RNAcentral.